GCCAGGCAUGGUGGCAAGUACAUGUAGUCCUGGCUACUCAGGAGGCUGAGGCAAGAGGAUCACUGGAGUCCAGGAGUUUGAGGCCAAUCUGGGCAACAUAGUGAGACACCCCCUCCC
Molecule: small RNA, 117 nt
Filed under: Marmota monax (woodchuck)
Lineage: Eukaryota; Metazoa; Chordata; Mammalia; Rodentia; Sciuridae
Source: RNAcentral